This is a long non-coding RNA of Piliocolobus tephrosceles (Ugandan red Colobus), 2138 nucleotides long. RefSeq lists it as uncharacterized. The record is from RefSeq and is a predicted model, not a curated record. The transcript has 2 exons. NCBI's taxonomy places the organism in Eukaryota, Metazoa, Chordata, Mammalia, Primates, Cercopithecidae.
AGGGACUGGGCGGGCCCGGCCCGGGGCCUGCCUAUCGCCUGAAAGAGAAAACCUGCCACGGAGCCCGGGCUUCUCUGAUCCUCCCGCCAAACGUUGUCUCUCGUUUAGCUUUCUUUGUGUCUGAGGAUUUAGCGAAGGCCUCAGAAAUUCAACAGAGUUGGAUUGCUGAGAAUAAAAUUAUGGAUUUCUCCAUAAUGGACACACACACUUUUUGUUUGUGCUGUUUCCUAUAGAAUGGAUGAUGAGUCAAAAUUGUUCGUUUAUGUUUUUUCACAGAAGGAUCUUCUGUGUCAUAGGCCCGCAGCAAUCUGGAUGUUCAGUGGUCCUCCUGUCAUUAAUAAGUGAACGGAUGAGCUAUUCUGAUAAGGACUGGGGAGCUUUCGCCAUUCAAGAGCAAAUAGGAGAACUGGGAGGAUUCCUCAACUUAGCUUUUCUUUUUUUGGUUGUAAAGUGACUGUGAACAGAGGUAGAAGAGAAGAAAAGCUUUUAAAAACAUCUUCCAUUAAGAAAAAUGUGUAUCUUCAUUAAGACCUAUCUGAGUAAAAUUACUAAAACAUAGUGGCUUUCUUGAGAUAGAAUGGAAUGAAAGGCGUAUUAGGGAGUAUGAGGGUAUGAAGAUUUUAUUAACAUACUUCUAGAAGUGUAUUAAAUGUCUGCACAGAAACUAUAAUUCGAGAUCAGUGGUGAAAAGAGAAUAAAGGAAUCACGUGGAUAUCAGCUCUGAGGCCUGUGGCGCCACUUGUUUCUGGACUUUCUAUAGACAUUUGCUGGUGACCUGCCCAGGCAGGCUGGAGUCCCCUUUCUCAUAGCAGCCUGUGCUCCCGUCCUCCCUCCUUCCCUUCCUUCCUUCCUUCCUUCCUCUUUCCUCCAUCAUCCCUUAUGAAACGCUCGUUGUGCAGUUACUAGGUGCUGUGUGAGCAUCUGUAGUCUCCCCUCACCCACUUUUCCAUUUGGGCCACUAGGCCGGCCAGUGAGUGCACCAGUACCAGGGUUCCAGGAGCCGUGCAUGGAUCCCCAGUGGGCAGAGCCGGCCAUAGCAUUUGGAAAGGAAGGGAGAGAACUGGAGACAAUGCCUAGGAACAAAAGCAGAGUCCAGACCCAGGCAUCAAGCGCAAAUCCAAAGGCUCUGGAUGAGUCAGUUCCCAGCAGAGGGACUGCAAGUAGGCACAGAAGGAAGGACAGCAGGAAGCACUCGUCCGGAGAGGGCCCGCAGAGCCGGAAGUGACGACACAUCCAAGGUUGUGCUUGACUUCUGCACUGUCUCUGCAACCUGUAAGUGCAUCUGAGCCAGUUCAGGAAGGAGGAAAUCCGAAGUAUAUCAGAAACAGCCUCUUAACAUCAAGGAGAUUUUGGUCUAGAUUGUUUAUUGCUCAGGAGAAGGCUCCACUUUUUAAAAAGAUAUGAUGAGAUAGGAUUUAGUUGGGAUAGAAAAGGUUAUUAAACCACGGGACACCCUUCCUUUACAGAGUGUAACCAUUACUACCCCUUUUGUUUGUCUGUUUUUCUUACUUUUCUCACAGAGGCAGUUCCUGCAUUAGUAUUGAUAAAUGUGUGCUCGCUCCACUUGGAGUGUCUUCAAAGCGUAAAUCACAGCAUUGAUGGUGCUGUGGUUUGGCUCUUCCAGCCCUCUUAACAACGGUCUGAUGGACUUGGCGAGAGUCUAGCCACGUGUCCUGGCUCCGUCACUCCCGUGGCUGAAACACGUGCACGCCCACGGAUGGGGACCCCGUGGUAGAGAGGUGCCUCUACUUGUCAAAUAGACGGAUUCCAAAUUCUGAAAUAUGCCUCAGGAAUAUAGAAACAUAGAAAAGGAGUCUUCAUCGCUGUAGGGUCUCAUUCACAACAUGGAGGAGGGAUGGAAGGGAGUUUUUGGUAUAAAUUAUGCCUCAUAAAAAUUCUCCACAUUAUUUUUGUACUGUACGAGGGUAGUAGGAAAUUAGUUGAUGGUUAACAAUCAAGCUGGAAAAGAAUAUCCUCAAUUUUUCACAUGAAAAAUGAAAAACUACAACUCCUUCCAAAUAUAUGUAUGUUUCUUUUCUGAAGAUAGACAUGUGUGUGUAUGUGUGUGUCAUACAGCAUUUAUUUUUUCUUUCUUCAUUAAUCAACAGUAAAAAUAUAGAAAAUGAUGCCAAAGAGAA